RNAcentral lists this long non-coding RNA (492 nucleotides) under Homo sapiens (human). RNAcentral describes it as "non-protein coding lnc-ALDH1B1-6:2". Lineage: Eukaryota; Metazoa; Chordata; Mammalia; Primates; Hominidae. The record is from RNAcentral.
AGAACAUCAGCUCAUCAGAAGCAGUGACAUCCAAGAGCCCAGAGGAGCCUGAAGAACAAUUGAGAGAAGCCUCCUUUGCCAACGCGUUGCCCACCAGGGCUGCACGUGGUACCCUUGCUCCAAGAUGCUUCCCAAAAACACCAGGACCAGGCAGUUAAAUGGCACUUGUACCAGCUCGGUGGACAUGGAGCUCUUCCUUCAUUAUUCCCUCAUCCCAUCACUCUUCAUCAUGUUGAUCUUGUCCUUCCUUCAAAGAUGAGAGCAUUGUAGACAGAGAGAUGAUACCUCUUACCUGCUGGGGAACUGCUUUGGCAUUAUCAUGCCUCUGGACUUCGUGGGCACUUUCAGUAACCGAUGGUCCUAUGGAAUCACCUUUGGGGCCACAGCUAAUAAGGUCAUGUUUUUGUUCUCAGAAGGCUACCAGCCCCUGCAGAUCCCGCAGUGGGCCCAAGGUCCCUGACUGGAAGUCCGCAUGAGGUACCACAGCUUCCC